AAAACAUCUUUUCUUGUUAGUUUUUGAAGUAUAGCCUGCCCACUGACUUAGGUUGAAGGGCCGCGGUAUUUUGACCGUGCAAAGGUAGCAUAAUCAUUAGUUCUUUAAUUGUGAUCUGGUAUGAAUGGCUUGACGAGACAUGAGCUGUCUUAAUAGGAUUGUUUUGUUGAAUUUAGUUUUUGAGUUAAAAUUCUUAGAUGUUUUUAUGGGACGAGAAGACCCUAUAGAGUUUAACAUUUUGUUUACUAGUGCAAGGUUUAGUUUGUUGUAAUUAUUUUAGUAAGUUGAUUGUUUUGUUGGGGUGAUGGGAGGAAUUUUAUUAACUCCUCUUUUGGUUUGAUAUAUUAAUUUAUAUUUUAUUGAUCCAUUGAUUUUGAUUAUAAGAUUAAAUUACCUUAGGGAUAACAGCGUUAUCUUCCUUGAGAGUUCUUAUUGGCGGGAAGGUUUGCGACCUCGAUGUUGGAUUAAGAUGAAU
Molecule: ribosomal RNA, 475 nt
Filed under: Termes sp. ENT-MG330
Lineage: Eukaryota; Metazoa; Arthropoda; Insecta; Blattodea; Termitidae
Description: partial small subunit ribosomal RNA
Rfam family: Bacterial large subunit ribosomal RNA
Source: RNAcentral